CCGGAACUCUCUGUUGUAUAACUGUUCAUAAUAGACACAAUACGUCUGACUCACAUCUCUCAAUGACUGUAGUUUGAGUUCAAAGUGUUGAAACCAAAUUCACAAGUUGAGCUCAUUAUAACUUGCUUACAGGAUUCAGGAGGUGAGUCUGAAUCAGACGGAGAGAAAAACAAGAAGCACGAUGGAAAGCUCACAGAAGACGCUGGCACUGCCACUUCAUCUUCAUCUGCACUUCCUGUGGAGUCUGCGGGUUUGACCGCUGCCAGGGACGACGGUCACGUGUCUGAUGACGAGGGCGAAGGAGGCCACGACAAACAGAAAGACAAAAAGAAGAAAGUAAAGAAAAAGAAGAAGAAGGCAUGCAGCUCGUCCUCUUCAUCGGACAGUGAGGAUGAGAAGAAGAAGAAGAAGAAGAAGAAGAAAGAUGAAGACUCCAGCUCUUCUUCUUCAUCCGACAGCAGCUCCUCAUCCUCCUCAGACUCAGACAGCGACGAUGACAAGAAGAAGAAGAAGAAGAAGAAGAAGAAGAAGAAGAAGAAGAAGAAGAAGAAGAAGGAUUCAUCUUCAUCAUCAAAUAGCUCUUCAUCAUCAUACAAGAAGAAGAAGAAGAAGAAGAAGAAGAAGAAGAAGAAGAAGAAGAAGAAGAAGAAGGUAAUGAUAGAAAUGAGCUACCUGGCCUGAAACCUAAAUGAAUGUGUUUGUGGAUUCAUUCUUGUCUGUGAUUAUUAAGAUGUCAUUUGCUAAGAAAAUGAAUGUAAAUGCAGAUUAAUCUCUCAAUCCUCAGGAUUCAUCAUCAUCAUCAUCUUCAUCUGACAGUGACCAUGACAAGAAGAAGAAGAAGAAGAAAAAGAAAAAGAAGAAAAAGAAGAAGAAGAAGAAGAAGAAAGUGAAGGUCAGAUUCAUUUACGUACACUGAAAAAAAAAUUGAUGUAGAAACAUUUUUCACAAAUUGCUGGUAGAUGUCACAAAGCAAUUUCAUAACAUAUAAAAUUUUGAAUUAAAAACUAAUAGUAUUUUCUUGUAAAACAUAUUCCAAU
Molecule: long non-coding RNA, 1037 nt
Filed under: Sinocyclocheilus anshuiensis
Lineage: Eukaryota; Metazoa; Chordata; Actinopteri; Cypriniformes; Cyprinidae
Description: lncRNA (ENSSANG00000045070.1)
Source: RNAcentral